UUCCGGUUGAUCCCGCCGGACCUGACUGCUAUCGGAUUGAUACUAAGCCAUGCGAGUCUUUGCAGUAAUGCAAGGCAUACGGCUCAGUAACACGUAGUCAACUUACCCUAUGGACGAGGAUAAUCUCGGGAAACUGAGCAUGAUACUCGAUAGAUCAUAAUGCCUGGAAUGGUUUAUGGUUGAAAUGAUUCGUCGCCAUAGGAUGGGACUGCGGCCUAUCAGCUUGUUGGUGAGGUAAUGGCCCACCAAGGCGAUUACAGGUACGGGCUCUGAGAGGAGAAGCCCGGAGAUGGGUACUGAGACAAGGACCCAGGCCCUAUGGGGCGCAGCAGGCGAGAAAACUUUGCAAUGUGCGAAAGCACGACAAGGUUAAUCCGAGUGACUUCUGCUAAAGAAAUCUUUUGCAAGUCAUAAAACCACUAGUGAAUAAGGGGUGGGCAAGUUCUGGUGUCAGCCGCCGCGGUAAAACCAGCACCUCAAGUGGUCAGGAGGAUUAUUGGGCCUAAAGCAUCCGUAGCCGGCUCUGUAAGUUUUCGGUUAAAUCCAUGUGCUCAACGCAUGGGCUGCCGAAAAUACUGCAUAGCUAGGGAGUGGGAGAGGUAGACGGUACUCGGUAGGAAGGGGUAAAAUCCUUUGAUCUAUCGAUGACCACCUGUGGCGAAGGCGGUCUACCAGAACACGUUCGACGGUGAGGGAUGAAAGCUGGGGGAGCAAACCGGAUUAGAUACCCGGGUAGUCCCAGCUGUAAACGAUGCAGACUCGAUGAUGCAUUGGCAUAUAGCCAGUGCAGUGUCGCAGGGAAGCCGUUAAGUCUGCCGCCUGGGAAGUACGUACGCAAGUAUGAAACUUAAGGGAAUUGGCGGGGGAGCACCACAAGGGGUGAAGCCUGCGGUUCAAUUGGAAUCAACGCCGGA
This 914-nucleotide ribosomal RNA is filed under the name uncultured archaeon. RNAcentral describes it as "bacterial SSU rRNA". It matches the Rfam family "Archaeal small subunit ribosomal RNA", at positions 1 to 922 of the family's 1478-position model. The record is from RNAcentral.